GACGAACGCUGGCGGCAUGCCUAACACAUGCAAGUCGAACGGAGUUUUCUUAUUGGAUUCCUUCGGGAUGAAGAUAUUAAAACUUAGUGGCGGACGGGUGAGUAACGCGUGGGUAACCUGCCCUUUUGUGGGGAACAACUUCGAGAAAUUGAAGCUAAUACCGCAUACUCUUAAAGAGUCGCAUGACUUUUUAAGGAAAGAUGGCCUCUGAACAUGCUAUCGCAAAAGGAUGGACCCGCGUCUGAUUAGCUAGUUGGAAGGGUAACGGCCUACCAAGGCGACGAUCAGUAGCCGGCCUGAGAGGGUGAACGGCCACAUUGGGACUGAGACACGGCCCAAACUCCUACGGGAGGCAGCAGUGGGGAAUAUUGGGCAAUGGGGGAAACCCUGACCCAGCAACGCCGCGUGAAGGAAGAAGGCC
RNAcentral lists this ribosomal RNA (421 nucleotides) under uncultured bacterium. Its description in RNAcentral is "bacterial SSU rRNA". It matches the Rfam family "Bacterial small subunit ribosomal RNA", at positions 28 to 416 of the family's 1533-position model. The record is from RNAcentral.